AUGAGGGAUCUUGUGUUUGUGAAAUUCAACUCUAAACUAAGGAACAAGAGAGAGAACAAAAAUAGAGAUCCCAUAGAGAAAGAAGUAGAUGAUGUUCUUGCUGAUUAUGACAAUGAGUUCAUCACUGGGAAAGAACCAACUGCAAAAGCUGAGGAAGAACAAGAGAAAGCUCAUGAAGAUGCAUCGGAAGAGGCACCAAACAGGGCAUCAUCAUCACUGGGACAAGCCAAAAGGAAGAGGAGUUCUCAGCCUAGGAAGAAAAUCAAGACCGCGAGCCUGCAGUCCUUGAUGGCUAUGCGUGUUGAAACAAUGCCGCAAGCUGCUUCUUCUUCUGAAUCGGAGUCUGAUAAGUCUCCUUCAGAUUCUGGAGAAGAAUAG
This 378-nucleotide ribosomal RNA is filed under the name Triticum aestivum (bread wheat). RNAcentral's name for it is "partial small subunit ribosomal RNA". Lineage: Eukaryota; Viridiplantae; Streptophyta; Magnoliopsida; Poales; Poaceae. The record is from RNAcentral.